This 253-nucleotide ribosomal RNA is filed under the name uncultured bacterium. Its description in RNAcentral is "partial 16S ribosomal RNA". It matches the Rfam family "Bacterial small subunit ribosomal RNA", at positions 524 to 776 of the family's 1533-position model. The record is from RNAcentral.
UACGGAGGGUGCAAGCGUUAAUCGGAAUUACUGGGCGUAAAGCGUGCGUAGGCGGCUGCUUAAGUCAGAUGUGAAAGCCACGGGCUUAACCUGGGAACGGCAUUUGAUACUGGGCAGCUCGAGUUGAGUAGAGGAGAGGGGAAUUUCCGGUGUAGCGGUGAAAUGCGUAGAGAUCGGAAGGAACACCAGUGGCGAAGGCGCCUCUCUGGACUCAAACUGACGCUGAUGUACGAAAGCGUUGGUAUCAAACAGG